UUCCUGGUCAUCUAGUGGUUAGGAUUCAGCACUUUCACUGCCAUGGCCCAGGUUCAAUCCCUGGCUGGGGAA
This 72-nucleotide transfer RNA is filed under the name Bos taurus (domestic cattle). It matches the Rfam family "tRNA". Rfam says of the family: Transfer RNA (tRNA) molecules are approximately 80 nucleotides in length. Their secondary structure includes four short double-helical elements and three loops (D, anti-codon, and T loops). The record is from Rfam by way of RNAcentral. Lineage: Eukaryota; Metazoa; Chordata; Mammalia; Artiodactyla; Bovidae. RNAcentral also lists the same sequence under 5 other names.